This 551-nucleotide non-coding RNA is filed under the name Homo sapiens (human). The record is from RNAcentral. Lineage: Eukaryota; Metazoa; Chordata; Mammalia; Primates; Hominidae.
CUGGAAAAUCAGGCUGAGAAGUCCAAAAUUGCCAGUGCCACCCAGGACUACUGAUCCCCUACACAAACACCCUUUGCUGAUGCUGUGCCCUUCUCUCUUAUCAGCGGACCCAGCAGUACAGACAGAUGGCAGCCCUCUCUGCUGCCAUUUUCACUUCAGCCCCAAGGUGAUGUUCACAAAGGUACUGAAGGCCCAGCUGUGGGUGUACCUACGGCCUGUACCCCGCCCAGCCACAGUCUACCUGCAGAUCUUGCGACUAAAACCCCUAACUGGGGAAGGGACCGCAGGGGGAGGGGGCGGAGGCCGGCGUCACAUCCGUAUCCGCUCACUGAAGAUUGAGCUGCACUCACGCUCAGGCCAUUGGCAGAGCAUCGACUUCAAGCAAGUGCUACACAGCUGGUUCCGCCAGCCACAGAGCAACUGGGGCAUCGAGAUCAACGCCUUUGAUCCCAGUGGCACAGACCUGGCUGUCACCUCCCUGGGGCCGGGAGCCGAGGGGCUGCAUCCAUUCAUGGAGCUUCGAGUCCUAGAGAACACAAAACGUUCCCGGC